CGUGCCUAAUACAUGCAAGUCGAGCGGACAGAUGGGAGCUUGCUACCUGAUGUUAGCGGCGGACGGGUGAGUAACACGUGGGUAACCUGCCUGUAAGACUGGGAUAACUCCGGGAAACCGGGGCUAAUACCGGAUGGUUGUUUGAACCGCAUGGUUCAAACAUAAAAGGUGGCUUCGGCUACCACUUACAGAUGGACCCGCGGCGCAUUAGCUAGUUGGUGAGGUAACGGCUCACCAAGGCAACGAUGCGUAGCCGACCUGAGAGGGUGAUCGGCCACACUGGGACUGAGACACGGCCCAGACUCCUACGGGAGGCAGCAGUAGGGAAUCUUCCGCAAUGGACGAAAGUCUGACGGAGCAACGCCGCGUGAGUGAUGAAGGUUUUCGGAUCGUAAAGCUCUGUUGUUAGGGAAGAACAAGUACCGUUCGAAUAGGGCGGUACCUUGACGGUACCUAACCAGAAAGCCACGGCUAACUACGUGCCAGCAGCCGCGGUAAUACGUAGGUGGCAAGCGUUGUCCGGAAUUAUUGGGCGUAAAGGGCUCGCAGGCGGUUUCUUAAGUCUGAUGUGAAAGCCCCCGGCUCAACCGGGGAGGGUCAUUGGAAACUGGGGAACUUGAGUGCAGAAGAGGAGAGUGGAAUUCCACGUGUAGCGGUGAAAUGCGUAGAGAUGUGGAGGAACACCAGUGGCGAAGGCGACUCUCUGGUCUGUAACUGACGCUGAGGAGCGAAAGCGUGGGGAGCGAACAGGAUUAGAUACCCUGGUAGUCCACGCCGUAAACGAUGAGUGCUAAGUGUUAGGGGGUUUCCGCCCCUUAGUGCUGCAGCUAACGCAUUAAGCACUCCGCCUGGGGAGUACGGUCGCAAGACUGAAACUCAAAGGAAUUGACGGGGGCCCGCACAAGCGGUGGAGCAUGUGGUUUAAUUCGAAGCAACGCGAAGAACCUUACCAGGUCUUGACAUCCUCUGACAAUCCUAGAGAUAGGACGUCCCCUUCGGGGGCAGAGUGACAGGUGGUGCAUGGUUGUCGUCAGCUCGUGUCGUGAGAUGUUGGGUUAAGUCCCGCAACGAGCGCAACCCUUGAUCUUAGUUGCCAGCAUUCAGUUGGGCACUCUAAGGUGACUGCCGGUGACAAACCGGAGGAAGGUGGGGAUGACGUCAAAUCAUCAUGCCCCUUAUGACCUGGGCUACACACGUGCUACAAUGGACAGAACAAAGGGCAGCGAAACCGCGAGGUUAAGCCAAUCCCACAAAUCUGUUCUCAGUUCGGAUCGCAGUCUGCAACUCGACUGCGUGAAGCUGGAAUCGCUAGU
This 1313-nucleotide ribosomal RNA is filed under the name Bacillus sp. S18F11. RNAcentral describes it as "bacterial SSU rRNA". It matches the Rfam family "Bacterial small subunit ribosomal RNA", at positions 43 to 1339 of the family's 1533-position model. Lineage: Bacteria; Bacillati; Bacillota; Bacilli; Caryophanales; Bacillaceae. The record is from RNAcentral.